GCCAUGAUCGUAAGGUGGUUAGUACAUUGUGUUGUAGCCGCAAUAACCCAGGUUCGAAUCCUGGUCACGGCC
This 72-nucleotide transfer RNA is filed under the name Nephila pilipes (giant wood spider). It matches the Rfam family "tRNA". Rfam says of the family: Transfer RNA (tRNA) molecules are approximately 80 nucleotides in length. Their secondary structure includes four short double-helical elements and three loops (D, anti-codon, and T loops). The record is from Rfam by way of RNAcentral. Lineage: Eukaryota; Metazoa; Arthropoda; Arachnida; Araneae; Nephilidae.